AGGCUGGUCAGAGCCCCGAUCUUCCAGAUUGAGGGCCUUACCCAGAAGCUGGACCCCAAGGAGAUGAAACGGAAGAUGCACGAGGAUAUGAUCUCCUCCAUACGGAACUUUCUCAUCUACGCGGCCCUGCUGCGAGUCACUCCAUUUAUCUUAAAGAAAUUGGACAGCAUAUGAAGAUUGGACAUCACAUGUGAAUGCAUGAUAUGAGGAAUCUGGUUACAGUUUCUACUGCCCUCUGCAAGUAAAUAGGCCCAGAAAGGUGUAAGAGACUCUUUGAAUGGACAUAAAAAUUCUGCUUGUUAAGAACAAGUUUGGCUCUGGUAACUGAUCAUAAUAGCUAAAACAUAAAAAUAUUUGAGAAGUCUGAAACAAGGCCUCCUGGUCAUGGUGUGCCCUUAUGCCUGUGACAUUUGGCCUCUGUGAAUAUUGAUAUAAUUGUAGAUAAUGUCAAACUCCAUUUUCUAGCAAGUAUUAAUAAUUAAAGGAAGUAUGUCUGAAAUGGC
Molecule: RNA transcript, 503 nt
Organism: Piliocolobus tephrosceles (Ugandan red Colobus)
Lineage: Eukaryota; Metazoa; Chordata; Mammalia; Primates; Cercopithecidae
Gene name: mitochondrial import receptor subunit TOM5 homolog pseudogene
Exons: 1
Source: RefSeq, a predicted model, not a curated record